AUGCUUUAGCAGCAUAUUUACUAAAAUUGGAAGAGUCAAGAGAAGACUAGCAUGGCCCUUAAACAGGAUAACAUGCACAUCCAUGAAAUGUCCCAUAUUUUC
Molecule: small nuclear RNA, 102 nt
Organism: Zalophus californianus (California sea lion)
Lineage: Eukaryota; Metazoa; Chordata; Mammalia; Carnivora; Otariidae
Source: Ensembl